UGGCCUCGAAUCAGGUAGGGAUACCCGCUGAACUUAAGCAUAUCAAUAAGCGGAGGAAAAGAAACCAACAGGGAUUGCCUUAGUAACUGCGAGUGAAGCGGCAAGAGCUCAAAUUUGAAAUCUGGCGCCUUUGGCGUCCGAGUUGUAAUUUGGAGAGGCAUCUUCGGGUGCGGCGCCGGCCUAAGUUCCUUGGAACAGGACGUCAUAGAGGGUGAGAAUCCCGUUCUCGGCUGGCUGUCCGCGUCCAUGUGAAGUGUCUUCGACGAGUCGAGUUGUUUGGGAAUGCAGCUCAAAAUGGGUGGUAAACUCCAUCUAAAGCUAAAUACUGGCGAGAGACCGAUAGCGCACAAGUAGAGUGAUCGAAAGAUGAAAAGCACUUUGAAAAGAGAGUUAAAAAGUACGUGAAAUUGUUGAAAGGGAAGCGCUUGAGACCAGACUCGGCGGGAGGUAUUCAUCGUCCCUUCUGGGGCGUGCACUUGCCUCUCGUCGGGCCAGCAUCGGUUGCGGCGGCGGGAUAAAGACCCGGGGAACGUGGCUGCUCUCGGGCAGUGUUAUAGCCCCGGGUGUCAUGCCGCCUGCUGCGACCGAGGACCGCGCUCGGCUAGGA
Molecule: ribosomal RNA, 607 nt
Filed under: Desmazierella acicola
Lineage: Eukaryota; Fungi; Ascomycota; Pezizomycetes; Pezizales; Sarcoscyphaceae
Description: eukaryotic LSU rRNA
Rfam family: Eukaryotic large subunit ribosomal RNA
Source: RNAcentral